Non-coding RNA from Peromyscus maniculatus bairdii (prairie deer mouse), 347 nucleotides. The record is from RefSeq and is a predicted model, not a curated record. Lineage: Eukaryota; Metazoa; Chordata; Mammalia; Rodentia; Cricetidae.
UGGAAAGUUCUGCAAAUGAAAGCAAAUGGAUCUUGAAGGCUUGGUCACAUAUAUCUAUAUAUCCUGCGAACAACCAAAAGCAGCUAUCGUGUUGGGCUCAGGAUGUAAAGUGGACCAUGCAUCCAUGACUGGGGAAGAGAAGAUAAUCAGAAGAUCAAGAUUUAGAACUCUGAGCUACUUCUCUAGCACCGUGUCUGCCUGUGUACCACCUGCCAUGAUAACAGCCUAAAUCUCUGAACUGUAAGCCACCCUAAUUAAAUAUUUUCCUUUGUAAGGGUUGCAGUGUUUGUGGUAUCUCUUCAAACAAUAGAAACCCUCAGACACUCCCUAUCUCCUCUUCUCCCAAG